RNAcentral lists this ribosomal RNA (505 nucleotides) under uncultured bacterium. Its description in RNAcentral is "partial 16S ribosomal RNA". It matches the Rfam family "Bacterial small subunit ribosomal RNA", at positions 28 to 507 of the family's 1533-position model. The record is from RNAcentral.
GACGAACGCUGGCGGCGUGCCUAAUACAUGCAAGUAGAACGCACAGUUUAUACCGUAGCUUGCUACACCAUAGACUGUGAGUUGCGAACGGGUGAGUAACGCGUAGGUAACCUGCCUGGUAGCGGGGGAUAACUAUUGGAAACGAUAGCUAAUACCGCAUAAUAUUAAUUAUUGCAUGAUAAUUAAUUGAAAGGUGCAAUUGCACCACUACCAGAUGGACCUGCGUUGUAUUAGCUAGUAGGUGAGGUAACGGCUCACCUAGGGGAAGAUACAUAGCCGACCUGAGAGGGUGAUCGACCACACUGGGACUGGGACACGGCCCAGAAUCCUACGGGAGGCAGCAGUAGGGAAUCUUCGGAAAUGGACGAAAGUCUGACCGAGCAACGCCGCGUGAGUGAAGAAGGUUUUCGGAUCGUAAAGCUCUGUUGUAAGAGAAGAACGGGUGUGAGAGUGGAAAGUUCACACUGUGACGGUAUCUUACCAGAAAGGGACGGCUAACUACGUG